Long non-coding RNA from Triticum aestivum (bread wheat), 349 nucleotides. RefSeq lists it as uncharacterized. NCBI's taxonomy places the organism in Eukaryota, Viridiplantae, Streptophyta, Magnoliopsida, Poales, Poaceae. The transcript is spliced from 3 exons. The record is from RefSeq and is a predicted model, not a curated record.
CGAAGAAAUCUACCCAUUGUUGUUGUCGGCGGAGGUGGAAGGAAGACGAACAAGGAACCCUAGCGGCCUGAGGUAGGAACGCCCACAUCCGCGAGGCCGGCGGUGAUGGCGUCGGUUCGGUGCGCGGCGAGGAGGCUGGGUGGCUCCCUGCUCCAGCGAACGCAGGAGGCGGUCACGGAUGAGGGACGCCGGCUCGUGCCAGGCAGGUUCAUGCGCUCCCGCCAGCUUUCUAGCAAGCAUGCUGGUAAGAUCCCGAAAGAACUAGAGCCGUCUGAGGUGGAAUCAAAGUUGGAGCAGACGAGGGCGAAGCUGGGUGCAACGUUAGAUAAGUUGGAGAAGGCACGGCCAG